Molecule: ribosomal RNA, 3374 nt
Filed under: Durio zibethinus
Lineage: Eukaryota; Viridiplantae; Streptophyta; Magnoliopsida; Malvales; Malvaceae
Description: eukaryotic LSU rRNA
Rfam family: Eukaryotic large subunit ribosomal RNA
Source: RNAcentral
CAUGACCCUAGGUCAAGUGGGAUAACCCACUAUGUUUAAGCAUAUCAAUAAGUGGAGGAAAAAAACCUUACUAAGAUUCCCUUAGUAAUGGUCAGCAAAUCGAGAAUAGCUUAGCUUGAGAAUUGAAAGCCCUUGGCAUCCGAAUUGCAAUCUAGAGAAGCAUCCUCAAUGGUGGAUUGGGCCUAAAUCCCUUUGAAAUGGGUGUCAAAAAAGAUGAAAGCCUUGUCGUGCCUAGAUUCUAUCACACCAUGAGGUGCUGUUUGCGAGUUAGGUUGUUUGGGAAUAUAGUACCAAUUAGGCGGUAAAUUUCAUCGAAAGUUGAAUAUGGACGAGGGACUGAUAGUAAACAAGUACUCAAAGGGAAAAAAGAAAAAGACUUUGGAAAGAGAGUUAGAGAGUGCUUGAAAUUAUUAUAAGGAAAACGGAUAAGGACUGGUGGUAUGCCCCAGUUGGAUGUGGAGUAGUGAGAGCAAGUCCACUGAUCUAUUCGAGGCGUGGACUGACGCAUGUCAUGGUGAAGGCCCAAGCAUGGGCUUUUGAUAUGCCAACGAAGAUGUCAUCGCAAUGAUUAUGGAGUGUAGUACACAUCAUCUUAGCAUGCCUUGACACUGAUGUACUCUCAACAUUAGCCCAUGGGCUCCCCAUCUGGCCCUUGAAACAUGGACUAAGAAGUCUAACAUGUGUGCAAGUUAAUGGGCUAGAAAACUCAUAAGGCACAAAGAAGUUGAUGGUGAGAUCCCUCAUAGGUGCACCACUGAUCGAUCUUGAUCUUCUGAAAAUGGUUCAAAUGUAAGCAUACCUAUCGAGAUUCAAAAAGAUGGUGAACUAUGCUUGAAUGAGGUAAAGCUAAAGAAAACUCUAGUGGAGGCCACAGUGAAACUGAUGUGCCAAUUGUUCAUCCGACUUAGUAUAAGGGUGAAAGACUAAACAAACCAUCUCGUAGCUGGUUCUCUUUAAAUUUUUCCUUAGGAUAGUCAGAGUCCUUAGCGAGUUCUAUUGGAUAAAGCAAAUGAUUAGAGGCAUCAAGGGCACAAUGCUUUUUAACCUAUUUUCAAACUUUAAAUAGGUAGGAUGGCACGGCUGUUUCAUUGACCCAAACCAAAAAAUCAAGAGCUCUAAGUGGGCCAUUUUUGGUAAGUAAAACUGGCAAUAUAGGAUGAACUAAAAAUUGAGUUACAGUUCCCAACUACGUGCUAACCUAGAACCCACAAAAGGUGUUGGUUGAUUAAGAUAGCAAGAUAGUGGUCGUUAAAGUCAAAAUCCUCUAAAAAGUGUGUAACAACUCACCUAUCAAAUUAACUAGCACCAAAAAAAGAUGGCACUUAAGCACAUGACCUAUACAUAGUAGACGAUGCAAAGGCAAAGCCCUGAUGAGAAAGAGGCAUGGCGAUUACUAUAAAAUUUAAGGUGCAAGCUUGAGUAAAGCAACCAUUGGUGCAGAUCUUAGUGGUAGUAUUUGAUAUUCAAAUGAAAACUUUGAAGGCUAAAGGGAGAAAAGUUCCAUGUGAACGACACUAGCACAUGGUUUAGUCAUCCUAAAAGAUAAGGGAAACCCUUCCAACAAUACGUCUAGCACGAGCUUUGAAAGGGAAUCAGGUUAAAAUUCUAGAACUAGGACACAGUGACUAAUAGAAAUGUUAGUGAGUUAAGAGAUUUUAGUGGGGGCUUCAAAAAGAGUUAUUUUUUUUAUUUAAUAGCCUACCCACCUUGGAAAUGGCUCUUUAAAGGUAAGGUCCAAUGACUAGAAGAGCACCUUACAUCACAUGGUGUCUGGUGCAACCCUAGUGGCCCUUGAAAAUCUACAGGAUUGAGUGCCAUUCGAGUCUAGUUGUACUUAUAACCACAUCAAGUCUCUAAGGUGAAGAACCUUUGGCAGAUGGAACAAUGUAGGCAAAGAAAGUCGACAAAAUGGAUAUGUAACCUCGAGAAAUGGAUUGGCUCUAAGGGCUAGGCAUGAGGGUCCCAAUCUCGAACCCAUCGAUUGUCAAUGCAUUGCUAGAGCUGUUCCUGUAGCAAGAGAGGGUUGCUACGUGCCAAUCAAAGGAUGAACUGGGAAUAGUUCCCUCGAAGGCCUACCCUUAGCGACAAAGUAUCAACUUAAAACUAGUACAAACAAGGGGAAUAUGACUCUUUAAUUAAAAAAAGCAUUGUGAUGGUCCUUACAGAUGCUCACACAAUGUGAUUUCUACCCAAUGCUUUGAAUGUUAAAGUGAAGAAAUCCAACCAAACAUGAGAAAACAAUGGGAGUAAUUAUGACUCUCUUAAGGUAGCCAAAUGCCUCAUCAUCUAAUUAAUGACGUGCAGGAAUAGAUUAAUGAGAUUCCCACUAUCCUUGUCUACAAUCCAUCAAAACCAUAACCAAGGGAACAGGCUUGGCAGAAUUAGUGGGGAAAGAAAACCUUGUUGUCCUUCACUCUAGUCUAACUUUAUGAAAUGACUUGAGAGGUAUAGGAUAAGUGGGAUCCCUUGGGUGAAUUUGCAAUACCACUAUUUUUAACAUUAUUUUACUUAUUCUAUGAAUUGAAGGCAAGGCACAAACCCUUCAUUUGGACCCAAGGUUGGCCUUGAUCUAUUGAUCCGAAUGGAAGACAUUGCUAGGUGGGGAGUUUGGUUAGUGUGACACAUUUGUUAAAAGAUAAUGCAGGUGUCCUAAGACGAGCUUAAUGAGAAUAGAAAUCUUGUGUGGAAAAAAAGGGUAAAAGCUUAUUUGAUUCUAAUUUCUGGUACAAAUAUAAACCAUGAAAGCACGGCCUAUUGAUCAUUAGACCUUUAAAAUUUGAAGUUAGAGGUGUUACAAAAAUUACCAUAGGGAUAACUGGCUUGUGGUAGCAAAGUGUUCAUAGUGACAUUCUUUUUGAUCCUUUGAUGUUGGCUCUUCCUCUCAUUGUGAAGCAAAAUUCACCAAGUGUUGGAUUGUUCACCCACCAAUAAAGAACGUGAGCUAGAUUUAGACCAUCAUGAGAUAGGUUAGUUUUACCCUACUGAUGGUAGUGUCACAAUAAUAAUUCAACCUCGUACGAGAGGAACCAUUAAUUCACACAAUUGGUCAUUGCAUUUGGUUAAAAAGCCAGUGGCACCAAACUACCAUACAUUAGAUUAUGAUUGAAUGGCUCUAAGUUAGAAUCUAGGCUAGAAGUGACGCACAUGCCCAUUGCCUGAUGUUGACCCAUAGUAUGGGCCAAUAGCCCUUAAGGGCACAUAAGUGUAGCCUUGAGGCAGACGAGCUGUAUGGGCCUCUUUGGAGCUCAAUUCCCACUAUGCCGCAUGUAAAAUCCUUUGUAGAUAACUUAAAUAUGUAGCAGGGUAUUGUAAGUGGUAGAGUGGCCUUGCUACCAUGAUCUAUCGAGAUUCAACCCUUUGUCGCUUUGAUUCAU